GCAGUUCUGAGGAGUCCCACAAUAGGACGAAACGGCCGUCCAAUGC
This is a non-coding RNA of Schistosoma haematobium, 46 nucleotides long. NCBI's taxonomy places the organism in Eukaryota, Metazoa, Platyhelminthes, Trematoda, Strigeidida, Schistosomatidae. The record is from Rfam.